GUGCACCAGUCGAGAAACUUCACACUGUGCGAAAGCACGAUGAGGGAAUCCCAAGUGCUUGCACGUAAGUGUAAGCUGUUUCUCUGUCUAAAACGCAGAGAGAGUAAGGGCUGGGUAAGACGGGUGCCAGCCGCCGCGGUAAUACCUGCAGCUCAAGUGGUGACCGUUAUUAUUGGGCCUAAAACGUCCGUAGCCGGUUUAAUAAAUGCCUGGGUAAAUUGUGUAGCUUAACUAUACGAAUUCCGGGUAGACUGUUAAACUUGAGACCGGGAGAAGUUAGAGGUACUCCUGGGGUAGAGGUGAAAUUCUGUAAUCCUAGGGGGACCACCAGUGGCGAAGGCGUCUAACUAGAACGGGUCCGACGGUGAGGGACGAAG
Molecule: ribosomal RNA, 377 nt
Filed under: uncultured microorganism
Description: bacterial SSU rRNA
Rfam family: Archaeal small subunit ribosomal RNA
Source: RNAcentral